AUUGAACGCUGGCGGAAUGCUUUACACAUGCAAGUCGAGCGGCAGCGCGGCCUUCGGGCUGGCGGCGAGCGGCGAACGGGUGAGUAAUGCAUCGGAACAUGCCCAGUCGUGGGGGAUAACACUUCGAAAGAAGUGCUAAUACCGCAUACGUCCUGAGGGGGAAAGCGGGGGAUCGCAAGACCUCGCGCGAUUGGAGUGGCCGAUGUCAGAUUAACUAGUUGGUGGGGUAAAGGCCUACCAAGGCGACGAUCUGUAGCUGGUCUGAGAGGAUGAUCAGCCACACUGGGACUGAGACACGGCCCAGACUCCUACGGGAGGCAGCAGUGGGGAAUUUUGGACAAUGGGGGCAACCCUGAUCCAGCCAUUCCGCGUGAGUGAAGAAGGCCUUCGGGUUGUAAAGCUCUUUCGGCAGGAACGAAACGGUGGGCUCUAACAUAGUCCGCUAAUGACGGUACCUGAAGAAGAAGCACCGGCUAACUACGUG
This 484-nucleotide ribosomal RNA is filed under the name uncultured bacterium. RNAcentral's name for it is "partial 16S ribosomal RNA". It matches the Rfam family "Bacterial small subunit ribosomal RNA", at positions 30 to 507 of the family's 1533-position model. The record is from RNAcentral.